GACGGUGAUCGUGCGAGGAAUUUUGUUUAUUAUUUAUCUCCCCCGUUCCUCCGACAUUCGGGCAUUGAUAAAACGAUUGAAGAAAAAAAAAAAUAUCGCAAAAUUAUUGUACGCAAAAAAACAUCAGCCCUCAAUGGCAAAUGCUAAAAAUAAUUGUGCAAUCAUCUCCGUUCUGCAUUCGAGUUCAUUGUCGUCGUGUUCGUCUUCGUCGCGAAAAUUGUGGGUGUGAGUUUAAGUAAAUUGGGAAUUGUUCCGAGGUGAGUGCGUCCGGAAGAGGUGUGGCUCUGAUCCGUGACCGGGGGAAGAACCGUCCUGGCGAUGGAUGAUGUGGACACGUCCGCUUUUGCGGAGCUACGCGACAAAAACGAAAUCAUCGCCAAAUAUCUGGAACAGCUGAAUCAGCUCAAGGAGCUGGCCGCCAACCGGGGCCGGAUCAACGAAACGGAAUUCAACAACUACCUGGUCCGGCACUACUUCCACAACAACAAUAUCAUCAACUACAUCUUCGAUAAGAACACCAGCCGGAUUCUGCUCAAGACGGUCAUCGACCGGAAGAAGAAAAUCAUCAACUUUAUCUUUGUGCUGCUGACGUUGUUCAUCGUUUUCUCCUACAAGCACGAAGUCUCGACGGUGGUCCUCCGGAACAUCCAGAGUCUGAUCUAUCCGGGGAUGCGGGUGUGGCGGAAGGUGACGGUGCCCAUCAUUGCCAACUAUCCGUCGCUGACCGAGCUGUACGACGAGAGUUGCCUCCUGACGAAUCCGUACUUCCAGGUGGAGAAUCUGAACUGCGAUCCGUGCGCGGACGUGGCCAACGUGCUGGAUCUGACCAACAUCGACCAUGUGGCGGUCAAUUAUCCGUAUAUUUUUAAGACCCAGAAAGAGCUAGUCGACAUCAGCCGGUUGCAGGUGCUGUACGACCAGAACCGUGCCAUUUUCACCAAGGAUGCGUACAAAAUCCAGUCGACGCAUCCGGACAUUCGCAACCUGGACGACUUGUUCCGACAGUUUGUGAACGCUAGUCAGCACGUGGAGAGCCACAGCGUUUGGCGCUGCAAUCGGAUGGCCCCGGCCAGGUUGCUCCGGUCGGUCUUUCCCCGACCGGCACGGCUUCCAGCGACUGGGGUCAGCCUGGAGCGGUACCUGAUAGUGGACACACCGCAGGCGCUGCCGUACCGCAUUCCGGACGCCGAGUGUGCCAACGUGUUCGUCAUCCAGGGCUCCGGCAGCCGGACGUUUCUGCUUCGUCCGACGCAGGAGUGCCGACACCGGUGCCGAACCCUGUCCGUUCGGCUUCCCGCCAAUUACGGAUUAAUCUACAACUGGUGGUACUGGAAGCCGAUAUCGCUUCCGGAGCAGUACGCCAAAGCGCCCUCCGUCAGCUACAUCGGAUCGUACUGCUGAACAGCGAAAAACCCCCAACGGGACGCCACCUCACCGAAGCCAAAAUGCGCAUUCAGAAGGAAGAACAAUAGGCAAUCGGCUGCUGGCAGCGGUACAGAACUUGGAACUUCAACAGCGACUGCUCAGCGGAUCAGCGGAUGACCAAUUUAAGUGUUGUGACCACCCCGAGUAAACCAAAAGCGCUAUUUCCGUGCUAUUUAAGUGAAAUGAUAUUACACCUUGACUGAAAACCCCGAAACAUUAGUUCUAGGCUUAAGGCUCCAUACUUUUUUAUCCUUCCUCGAUUGUUUUCAUUUGUGUUGGAACAAUGCCAAAAACUAACCCCAAAAUAAAUCGAAAACGAUACAAAUGCAUGCAUGAAAAACUAAAAGUAAAAAGUGAAGAACUGCGAAUAGACGAUGCUUCCUGUUUUAGACGAAAUGAAUGGUGAAAAAAUGCCAUACGAAUACUUCAAUUACUAUAGCAGUUUUAGUGGAAGUGAAAAACCCCGUGAAUUCAAAGUAGUAGGAGUAACGAACCGAUGUAUGUGUGAUACUUCUAAUUAACGCCGAAAUGAGACAGAAGAAGUUUUAGAUCAAGUAGAACUGACUAUUGCGUGAAAAAAAAAAGAAAAACAAUACGAGUAGAAUGGUGCAUUUUCUUCCUUCCCACUGAUUACAAGCAAGAACAAGAAUUAAAGAAGAUUAGACUUAAAUCCGAAGUUAAAUAAUAAACCCACACGGAAAUGUAGCGGAUAGCAUUUUCAAACAAACUAUUAAGAAAAUUACGGAUCUACUAAUACAUACACACACAAACACACAUACAGACCGGGUUGUACAUAGAAAGUAGAAGCGCGAUGAAAUGAAAGCGCAAGCACAUAGCGUAUGAUUAUACAUAUAUUUUUUUGCGGUGGAAAUGAGUUAUAGAAAAAAAAGUCAGUCGAAAUAAAGAGAAACAACUUGUGUGAAAGAACGCAUUUAAUCGCUCAAA
Molecule: RNA transcript, 2370 nt
Organism: Aedes aegypti (yellow fever mosquito)
Lineage: Eukaryota; Metazoa; Arthropoda; Insecta; Diptera; Culicidae
Exons: 4
Source: RefSeq, a predicted model, not a curated record